Taeniopygia guttata (zebra finch) is the source of this 2185-nucleotide RNA transcript. It is a transcript of the gene named leucine rich repeat containing 39, with no coding region annotated. Lineage: Eukaryota; Metazoa; Chordata; Aves; Passeriformes; Estrildidae. The record is from RefSeq and is a predicted model, not a curated record.
UGUUGUGGUAAGGGCUUAGUCUAAAGGCUUAGGAUAUUUUUUAAUCUGAUGAUCAUUGUGAAAAUAAAUUGAGGAAAUAUAAGUAUAUGAAAGAAAACAAUAAAAUUACUUUGAAAUACUUAAGACAGAAUCAAGGAGAAGAUUGAAAACUAAAGUACUUAGUGUCUUUUUAAGUAGGUAAUGGUAUUAAUGUAUUUAGUUGUUUGUGGACUGGAGAUGGUUGAGUUUCUUUGUUAUAAAGUUCUGUGUGGUAGAGUUACAACCAAAUUAAUGAUGCUUUUAAAAUUUUAUCUUCAUGUUUUAUACUCCAGCUCAAUUGGUUUGAACUAUCCCUGCAUCAAAUAGUGACCUCGUAGCUAUUGUUGUCUCUGCUCCCAUUUGAUUGAAGUAAAAGAUUCUGACAGACUUGUUCUCCUUGUAUCUUCUCCAAGGGCUAUUUGAAGAAAUAUAAUGUUAAAUAUGUUUCAUAAUUGGAACCACGAAAAGGGCAUAGGUUAAAAUUAGAACUAGACUGACAUUGCACUGGAGUCUGAGUGAGAGUUUUAAAUGGCUUUGGUAAUGCAGACAAGAUUCAUAAUUUGUCUCCGCUCUUGUCCAGAAAGCAAUGAGUCACAGAAAAUCCUUGAAAACACCAAAUAAUUAAGUGGUACAUUGAUCCUGAAAUUCAGUCAGAUUCCUGCAAGCAAAUCUGAACAUGUAAAGGAUCAUGGCUGAAACUGCAGUUUGCCUGGGAACAUUCUCUGCUGUGAAGACACUCUGGGAAGUGAGAAUACACAAGAUAAAUGAAGAAUUACAGAAAGAAAAGGAAUUCAGGCAGAGGUCUGCAGGAAGGCUACUGCUUGUCUGGGAGGAGAGAGCUGCUUUAGCAAAGCUCAAAGAAAAAGUUAUUAAUGAAGGUGGAAGAGCAAUUUUAAGGAUAGAGGAAGAAGAAUGGAAGACAUUACCUUCAUGCUUAUUGAAACUAAUCCAUCUCCAGGAAUGGCAGCUUCACAGAACUAGUUUGCAGAAAAUUCCUCAGUUUAUUGGAAGAUUUCACAGCCUUGUUGUUCUGGAUCUAUCCCGGAACUCAAUUGAAAGUGUACCUAAAGAAAUUGGUCAGCUCACCAGCCUCCAAGAGCUGCUUCUCAGUUACAACAGAAUAAAAUCUGUUCCUAAGGAAAUAAGUAACUGCAUCAGUCUGGAAAGAUUGGAACUGGCUGUCAACAGAAGUAUCUCUGAUCUUCCUCCUCAGCUCAGUGAUUUAAAGAAGCUGUCACACAUAGAUUUGUGCAUGAAUCAGUUUACUGCCAUCCCUUCAGCUCUCCUCAACAUGCCAAAUCUAGAAUGGUUAGAUAUGGGGGGAAACAAACUCCAGGAGCUUCCUGAGGCAAUUGACAGAAUGGAAAAUCUCCACACUUUAUGGCUCCAAAGGAAUGAAAUAAACUCUUUGCCAGAAACCAUUGGUAAUAUGAAAAAUCUUAGUACUCUUGUUCUUAGCAACAACAAACUUAAGGAUAUUCCAGCUUGUAUGAAGGACAUGACAAAUCUGAGAUUUGUUAACUUCAGAGACAACCCACUGGAGCUAGAGGUAACACUCCCUCCAUGUGAGAACACAGAUGAGGAGGAGCAACAGGAAAUGUUUGGCAUUGACUUCAUGCACUUGUAUAUCCAGGAAUCACUCAAGAAAACAGGAAAUGUGGAAAGUUGUACUUCUGGUUCUCCUCCUGUCAUGAAUCCUAAUGAAUAAAGAAUGUAACUGUGAAUGGAAGAAAAUAUCAAAUACACUUCUUCACAGCAAAGAGGCUACAACAGUUGGCUCUGGUAUCAAAGGAGGAUUUGGGACAGCUGUCAACAGGACAUUCUCCAAGGACACAGCAGGCUCUGUAUAAUACUGCAGUGCAGCCUUGUAUCCUUGCUGCUGUAAAUACUCAAUCCGUCCGUGAUCAAUCAGCCGUUUGCAGAGGCAACCGAUCUCCUUCCGCUCCUCAACACUCAGUAUCCUGGUUCCAGAUAAAGGAAAGAAGCAAUGACAGCUGUCAGAAAAUAGUUUUGGUAAUUAACAUUAGUACUUAAGCUUAGAAAAACUACCAAAAUCAUUGUAAGUUCAUUUCAGUCAGGUUAAGCAUGGCUAUUGAAAUAUUUUGAAAUGUACGUCAUGAAAAUCAUAUUUUUAAAGUAAAAUAUCUCUAUAAGUUUAGUAAUUAAA